UGGGGAAUAUUGCGCAAUGGGCGAAAGCCUGACGCAGCGACGCCGCGUGAGGGAUGAAGGUUUUCGGAUCGUAAACCUCUGUCAGAAGGGAAGAAACCGCACUGUGCUAAUCAGCAGUGCCUUGACGGUACCUUCAAAGGAAGCACCGGCUAACUCCGUGCCAGCAGCCGCAGUAAUACGGAGGGUGCAAGCGUUAAUCGGAAUUACUGGGCGUAAAGCGCACGUAGGCUGCUUUGUAAGUCAGGGGUGAAAUCCCACGGCUCAACCGUGGAACUGCCUUUGAUACUGCUUAGCUUGAAUCCGGGAGAGGGUGGCGGAAUUCCAGGUGUAGGAGUGAAAUCCGUAGAUAUCUGGAGGAACAUCAGUGGCGAAGGCGGCCACCUGGACCGGUAUUGACGCUGAGGUGCGAAAGCGUGGGGAGCAAACAGG
RNAcentral lists this ribosomal RNA (429 nucleotides) under Fusobacteriota bacterium. RNAcentral describes it as "Fusobacteria bacterium partial 16S ribosomal RNA". It matches the Rfam family "Bacterial small subunit ribosomal RNA", at positions 355 to 776 of the family's 1533-position model. The record is from RNAcentral. Lineage: Bacteria; Fusobacteriati; Fusobacteriota.